AGGGGCGUAGUUCAAUUGGUAGAGCGUCGGUCUCCAAAACCGAAUGUUGGGGGUUCGAGUCCCUCCGCCCCUG
This is a transfer RNA of Plesiomonas shigelloides 302-73, 73 nucleotides long. It matches the Rfam family "tRNA". Rfam says of the family: Transfer RNA (tRNA) molecules are approximately 80 nucleotides in length. Their secondary structure includes four short double-helical elements and three loops (D, anti-codon, and T loops). NCBI's taxonomy places the organism in Bacteria, Pseudomonadati, Pseudomonadota, Gammaproteobacteria, Enterobacterales, Enterobacteriaceae. The record is from Rfam.